Molecule: ribosomal RNA, 327 nt
Filed under: uncultured bacterium
Lineage: Bacteria
Description: bacterial SSU rRNA
Rfam family: Bacterial small subunit ribosomal RNA
Source: RNAcentral
GACGAACGCUGGCGGCGCGCCUAACACAUGCAAGUCGAACGGAGCUAUUUCGACAGAUCCCUUCGGGUGACAUUGGCUUAGCUUAGUGGCGAACGGGUGAGUAACACGUGAGGAACCUGCCCUUCAGAGGGGGACAACAGUUGGAAAUGACUGCUAAUACCGCAUAUGCCUAAGUACCACAUGGUACAAUAGGGAAAGGAGGAAAUCCGCUGAUAGAUGGGCUUGCGUCUGAUUAGUAUAGUUGGUGGGGUAAAGGCCUACCAAGUCGACGAUCAGUAGCCGGACUGAGAGGUUGAACGGCCACAUUGGGACUGAGAUACGGCCCAG